GAGUUUGAUCGUGGCUCAGGAUGAACGCUGGCGGCGUGCUUAACACAUGCAAGUCGAGCGAAGCGCUUUGGUUAGAUUCUUCGGAUGAAGACCUUUGUGACUGAGCGGCGGACGGGUGAGUAACGCGUGGGUAACCUGCCUCAUACAGGGGGAUAACAGUUAGAAAUGACUGCUAAUACCGCAUAAGACCACAGUACCGCAUGGUACAGGGGUAAAAACUCCGGUGGUAUGAGAUGGACCCCGCGU
This 246-nucleotide ribosomal RNA is filed under the name uncultured bacterium. Its description in RNAcentral is "partial 16S ribosomal RNA". It matches the Rfam family "Bacterial small subunit ribosomal RNA", at positions 9 to 236 of the family's 1533-position model. The record is from RNAcentral.